GGGCCCGCACAAGCGGUGGAGCAUGUGGUUUAAUUCGACGCAACGCGCAGAACCUUACCAGGGUUUGACAUCCUGUGCUCGCCGGAGAGAUCCGGUUUCCCCGCAAGGGGCGCAGAGACAGGUGCUGCAUGGCUGUCGUCAGCUCGUGUCGUGAGAUGUUGGGUUAAGUCCCGCAACGAGCGCAACCCUCGCCUUUAGUUGCCAUCAUUAAGUUGGGCACUCUAGAGGGACCGCCGGCGACAAGCCGGAGGAAGGUGGGGAUGACGUCAAGUCCUCAUGGCCCUUACACCCUGGGCUACACACGUGCUACAAUGGCGGUGACAGUGGGCAGCUACUCCGCGAGGAGAUGCUAAUCCCAAAAAACCGUCCCAGUUCAGAUUGCACUCUGCAACUCGGGUGCAUGAAGGUGGAAUCGCUAGUAAUCGCAGAACAGCAGGCUGCGGUGAAUACGUUCCCGGGCCUU
Molecule: ribosomal RNA, 463 nt
Filed under: uncultured bacterium
Lineage: Bacteria
Description: bacterial SSU rRNA
Rfam family: Bacterial small subunit ribosomal RNA
Source: RNAcentral